Scophthalmus maximus (turbot) is the source of this 1476-nucleotide long non-coding RNA. RefSeq lists it as uncharacterized. NCBI's taxonomy places the organism in Eukaryota, Metazoa, Chordata, Actinopteri, Pleuronectiformes, Scophthalmidae. The record is from RefSeq and is a predicted model, not a curated record. The transcript has 3 exons.
CAAAGGAGAGAUUGGGGACCAAGUUAACUUCGGACCAGAAUCUCUCAAGCACCCACGAGUGUGUGUGUAAAUGUUCGCUAGUAAGAAAGCGAUCAAAAGUCAUCAAAGCAGCCGUAAGGCUCAUGGGAUGAUGACUGAGGUCCAGCACCUGGUCUGUGUGACGCAGGGUGAGCCGGCGCGUCUAUCGAGAGCGUGCAGCAAGAAACGGGACACGGCGGUCCGGUACGAACUUCACAACAAUACACAGGGAACAAGCGUGUGCAGUCCGUCCUCGGACGCGGCGGUGCUGCGAUGCACGAGGCUGGAGCCGUCUGUCGCUUCCUAGCGACUGAGGGCGGUGCAGGGCCCUCCGCGUUCGGAUCAACCGGCGGUCGACUCGGUUGAAAGACUGUGGGUUCAGGUCUUUUGUUCUCCAGGGAUCAAUCGACAGUGUUCUGUCUCAACGGCUCUUGUCCUGGUGUGUGCGUAUCUCAGCCCAUGAGAUGCUCACUUGUGUUGCCAGCACUGCUGCGGUGGUAGCAUUUCUCAUCACCAGCUUUCACCGAAAACAUGAGCUACGGCUGCUAGGUGCUGUCAUGGCUUAUGCACAGUUUCAUACAUGUAUGUAGUUUUGUUGAAAGUUGUUGCCUAAUGAAAGACAGUAACCAGCUCAGAUUCCUUGAUCAUGGUUUUCUUUAAACAAUGUUUAUCUCAUUGUUUUACGCCUAAGACUUGGUGGGAAUUUUCAAUAUCUUCCAUGACAGGCUUAUUAUCAGCAGCGCCCUUCCUUUUCCUGUUGUGAAGAAAAUCUGGAUAUUGUCAGAGGGGAAUUUUGCACAGCCUUCCUGCGUCUAGUUUACGCAUCAGUAAGAAACCACACAAGCCGCCCAGGCCCUUGUGUCAAUCACAUCUGUGUCAACUCACUGACUGGCUUUCAUCUGAAUCUUUAAUAGUGCAGCCGACAUCAGGGUUUCACUGAAAUGAUAAGUGCUCUUGUGGCCGUUACACUCUGUGAGAUGAUGAAACAUUUGUGACAGACAUGACAAGAAGCCUUUCACACUAGACCCUUUACCAGACACAAAGCUUAUGUCACUGAAAUAAGCUUGCAAGUUUCUUUCUCUGUCAAUAAGUCUGCAUUUCAAUCAAGAUAAACCGGGGCUGUAGUGCAGAGACAUGAGUCAGAGAUGCAUAUUUCAUUAAAACAGGCCAAUAAUCAGUUGUUCUAUAUACUUCCGAGGCUGGAGACUGUCUUUUUAGCCACUUUUAAAGGCUGAUGCGUCGGCGUGCUUGCUGCAUAUUAGUGGGGCAAAUGAGAUUAAGACAAUUCAGAAAGAGCUUGUUUAUUGUGUUUGAACUCCUACCUGCAUCCCCUGCAACACGUAGCAUUAGAUGCCUAUUAUAUCCAUUUCGAGGAAAGAAAAAGAGGGCUAAGAAUUUUUAUGCUUACUCAGAUAAAAUACAAAAUGACUUUGAUAUUCAUUCCCCCUGUCAUUUCUA